CCUGAUCCAUGUGAGGAACUUGUGGAGAACCUCAUCACGAUCCCUUUUGAGGAGGAAAAUAAGGAGCGAUCAGUUCAGAUCAGGACAUACAUAGAUGAGAUAACCAACCAUCACCUUGUUAUCUUUUUGUAGGAGAAUGUUGAUGUUUUUGCUUAAUUGAUGGCUGAUAUGUCUGAUAUAGAUCUUAAAGUAAUAGUGCACCGACUGAACGUGGAACCUGAAUACCAACCCA
Molecule: long non-coding RNA, 232 nt
Filed under: Elaeis guineensis (African oil palm)
Lineage: Eukaryota; Viridiplantae; Streptophyta; Magnoliopsida; Arecales; Arecaceae
Description: long non-coding RNA (EGUI_LNC012045)
Source: RNAcentral